GGGGCCGGCUACCCCCCCCCCCCCCCCCCCCCCCGCCCCGCGGGGCCGCCGGGAGCGGGCCCGCCGCCUCCCGCCGCAAGUUUCGCCCGGAGUGGGGAAAGUUGGUCGCGGCCCGGCGGGACCCGGCCAGAUUCUUGGAAAUCUGAGGAGCAGUCUUCAGCAGCCGAAGAAUGCAGUUCUCCCUGGAGGUGUGGGUAUGUCACAUGAAGGGGACUGACCGAAGUAGGAUCAGCUAGUAUCAAGAAACACAACUUCAAGACAUUCAGAAGUACUUUGGAGCAAACUGGCAGGAAGCCUUGCAAUACCAUGGUGGCAGUAAUGGUGGCCGUCCUCUGCAGAUGCUGAAGCUCAGCUUGAUUUUGAACUUCUUUCUUACACCUCCCAGCCUGUGCACAAAGGACUUAACAUUGAUUGGAAUUCAUGCGGUAUAAAAUAGUCAUGGGCAGGGGUGUUUUUUCUGCCUUUACUUGACAUCUGCAUGUUUCUGGCAAUCAGUGAUGAAGUCUGUACUAGGUCUGCUGACAUUUGGUCUGUUUUCGAGAGCUCUGAGUGACAGGUACUGUAAACAUCCUACACUCUCAGCUGUGGAAACUAAGAAAGCUGGGAGAAGGCUGUUUACUCUCCCUGCCUUGGAAGUCGUCCAGAGGACAAGGAUGGAAUAUUGUGAGCUCUGUGUUGAUUGUAUUUCUGACAACCUGUAUUUCAUAUUUUGCGUUAUGGUGUCAGUAAACAAAUAAUAGCAUUAUAUCAUGCCAUCAGUGUCUCAUGUUCUGACCGAGGUCAGAAGGGCCUUACAAUAUGCUUUAGCUGCACUGCUGGCUUGAGGGAAAUUUAAAUAGUAGCAGUAAUACAUUACAAUACUUUCAUCCUUAAGCAGUGAUUACAGCAGACCUGUUGCACUGUUUGUUUAUAAGUGGUGCUACAUACAAGUUACAGUGCAGACAUCCUCAGGUUGACACAUUAGUACUGUAUUUAAUCAAAAUCAUCCUUAAAUGUUUGGUUCUUGUUUUCUGAUUUACUCCGUUCUUGUUUCCUAUCCAAAAGGCCUAGAAAUAGAGGUGAGAAUUCAAAAAGGUUGUAGGGGACUUCAAAUUUCAGUUUCUUUUUGAAGAAAUUCAGAGUUGUCAACACUGAUUAACUCCAUCUCUAAAUUAACUGAAUUAAAGAUACAAAGGUAUUUCCUUUAUGUUUUCCACUUGCUGUUCCCUGACACUUGUUCCCCAGACUGUAUUAUUCUUUGUACUUUGUCCUGGCAGUCUUCCUCUUCCUCCUUGUGUUUCUUUCAUUCUAUUUGGUGUUAGACAAGUAGAGCUUCUCAUUUUAAAUGUAGAAUAAGCUGAAAAAAAAUAUUUCCGUUUAAAUCUAAUGCCUUGUUGACAUGAUCUUAAAUCCUCAUGAAUUAUAGUUUUGCAGAUCUUAAACAGUGACUUUGACAGGAAGAAUAUUCUCUUUUUUUCUUGUUUCUUAUUUAUGGAAGGGGACACUUCUUACGGUCUCUAAGAAAUUUUACAUAAUACAGUUGAACUCUCGAAGAUCACCUUCUAUGUCCUUUUGCAAUAGCAUUCUUAUGUCUUCAGAUCCUGCUGCUUCAGCUUUUUAGCAAACGCAUUUAAAUAGUAAAUCUUUGAAAUAAGGGCUGUUCUAAGAGUUUAAGUAUCAGGGUUUAGAAAGUGAUGGGAGUGGGAAGACAAUAGGAGAAUGGUAAAAGAUCGUGUAAGGAUUUGUAGUAGUACUUCUACAAAAUGGACAAAAAAGCUAAAAAAAAAAAAGUCAAGUUAUUUGAAGCAAUAAUUAUUUU
Molecule: long non-coding RNA, 1798 nt
Organism: Tyto alba (common barn owl)
Lineage: Eukaryota; Metazoa; Chordata; Aves; Strigiformes; Tytonidae
Exons: 3
Source: RefSeq, a predicted model, not a curated record